AUACGGAAGGUCCGGGCGUUAUCCGGAUUUAUUGGGUUUAAAGGGAGCGCAGGCGGAGAUGCAAGCGUGACGUCAAAUUUCGGGGCUCAACCCCGUCUCGCGUCGCGAACUGCGUCCCUUGGUUGCGGGAAGGGGAGGCGGAACUCGUGGUGUAGCGGUGAAAUGCAUAGAUAUCACGAAGAACUCCGAUCGCGAAGGCAGCCUUCCGGCCCGUCAACGACGCUCAUGCUCGAAGGUGCGGGUAUCAAACAGGAUUAGAUACCCUGGUAGUCCGCACAGUAAACGAUGGACACCCGCGGUUUGGCCUGUAUGGCUGAGCCGCCAAGCGAAAGCGUUAAGUGUCCCACCUGGGGAGUACGCCGGCAACGGUGAAACUCAAGGGAAUUGGCGGGG
This 393-nucleotide ribosomal RNA is filed under the name uncultured bacterium. Its description in RNAcentral is "partial 16S ribosomal RNA". It matches the Rfam family "Bacterial small subunit ribosomal RNA", at positions 523 to 918 of the family's 1533-position model. The record is from RNAcentral.